AACAACUCAAAUCAUGCGGUUAUCACAACAAAUACCAAAUCAUGUAAAAAAUGAGAAUCAAGAGGUCUUUCAAAGGUUGUAAUGUGGCUUAGGUUACAAGAAAGGAUAUGAUUAAGAGAAUUUAAAGAAAAUGCCUAUCUUAAGGGAGAAUUCCCAAACAUUCAACUCUACACAAUUUCCAUUUCUUUGAUCCCUAACUUUUUCUUUUUCCUUUUUCUUUUUACACCCAUACAACCAUGAGCAUUUUCUUUGCUUUUUUCUUUCUUUUCUUUUUCUUUUUUUUUCUUUUUUUUUUCUUUGCUCUAUGGUUUCCAGGGUGAUUUCUUUUUCUUGUUUCUUUUCAUUUUUAUUUCCUUUCAUAAAAACUCAUUUUUCCAAGUUUAUAAUCAACUCUUUUUUCUUUACUCUCCCCAACUUUAGAUUCCAAACCAAAUCUAUUCAAUAAUGCUCCCUACUUAGACAUAAGCAAAAGGCAAAAAUUUUACACAACUCGGUUUGAGGGUUCAAUUGACACAAAAGAAAUUAGGAUUCAUUUAUUCCAAAAAUUUCAAUUUAUUUUACAAUGAUCAAUCGAAUGAAUCCUAAAAUAAGCUCAAAGGGGUUUAACUAAGGAUUACUCCUCACAAGGUUAGUUGAUUCAAACUUUUUGGUCAAGUGGUAUUUCUCACAAACAAUGCCUCUAUCAUUUUCAAAAUUUUCACACAAAGAUAGAUUGAUACAUGAUUUAGCAUGAUAAGAAUGAGUUGAAAUAAUGCUCAGUUUCCCGCUUUUUAGUGUACAAUGGAAAGCUUCCUCACAAUUGGUUAAGUCCUAUUUUGAUUCAAAGAUGACAUACAUUUCAAUGAGUUUAUGAUAUGAGAUUUGUACACACCAUCAAACUACUCAUGUUAAGUCUAGAAAGCAAUAAAGUGUACCUUGGAAUGCCGAUACUAAUUCUUAUCAUCACCACUCGAAGUGUCCUAUGCUUUUUUCUUUGGGAUCAUUUCUCGGUUGCUUUAAGCUUGACUUAAGAGUAAGAACAAUUAAGCAAAAAUGUUGGUAAACCAAUUUGAUUAUAACACACUUAAAUCUCAAAUAGUAUUCAUGCAAUUAUCAAAACAACUAACAAAAAAAACAAAGUUUUGGUGAACUAGAGCCACCCAAAAGUACAUCAAA
Molecule: long non-coding RNA, 1155 nt
Filed under: Lathyrus oleraceus (garden pea)
Lineage: Eukaryota; Viridiplantae; Streptophyta; Magnoliopsida; Fabales; Fabaceae
Description: Pisum sativum (pea) long non-coding RNA (PSAT_LNC035155)
Source: RNAcentral